CUACGGGAGGCAGCAGUGGGGAAUCUUGGACAAUGGGCGCAAGCCUGAUCCAGCCAUGCCGCGUGAGUGAAGAAGGCCUUAGGGUUGUAAAACUCUUUCGCCAGGGACGAUAAUGACGGUACCUGGAUAAGAAGCCCCGGCUAACUUCGUGCCAGCAGCCGCGGUAAUACGAAGGGGGCUAGCGUUGUUCGGAAUCACUGGGCGUAAAGCGCACGUAGGCGGAUCUUUAAGUCAGGGGUGAAAUCCCGGGGCUCAACCUCGGAACUGCCUUUGAUACUGGGGAUCUCGAGUUCGGGAGAGGUGAGUGGAACUGCGAGUGUAGAGGUGAAAUUCGUAGAUAUUGGAAAGAACACCAGUGGCGAAGGCGGCUCACUGGCUCGGUACUGACGCUGAGGUGCGACAGCGUGGGGAGCAAACAGGAUUAGAUACCCUAGUAGUCC
This 440-nucleotide ribosomal RNA is filed under the name uncultured bacterium. RNAcentral's name for it is "bacterial SSU rRNA". It matches the Rfam family "Bacterial small subunit ribosomal RNA", at positions 339 to 796 of the family's 1533-position model. The record is from RNAcentral.